ACGGGGGGUGCAAGCGUUGUUCGGAAUUACUGGGCGUAAAGCGCGUGUAGGCGGCUUGCCAAGUCAGGUGUGAAAGCCUGGGGCUUAACCCCAGAAGUGCGCUUGAAACUAGCAGGCUAGAGUGCGGUAGAGGGAAGGGGAAUUCCUGGUGUAGAGGUGAAAUUCGUAGAUCUCAGGAGGAAUACCGGCGGCGAAGGCGCCUUCCUGGACCGUAACUGACGCUGAGACGCGAAAGCGUGGGGAGCAAACAG
RNAcentral lists this ribosomal RNA (251 nucleotides) under uncultured prokaryote. Its description in RNAcentral is "partial 16S rRNA". It matches the Rfam family "Bacterial small subunit ribosomal RNA", at positions 525 to 775 of the family's 1533-position model. The record is from RNAcentral.